CUUAUGGCGGUUCUCAGUGAUG
Molecule: non-coding RNA, 22 nt
Filed under: Arabidopsis thaliana (thale cress)
Lineage: Eukaryota; Viridiplantae; Streptophyta; Magnoliopsida; Brassicales; Brassicaceae
Source: RNAcentral